UACGGAGGGUGCAAGCGUUAUCCGGAUUCACUGGGUUUAAAGGGUGCGUAGGUGGGCUGGUAAGUCAGUGGUGAAAUCUCCAGGCUUAACUUGGAAACUGCCAUUGAUACUAUCAAUCUUGAAUACUGUGGAGGUAAGCGGAAUAUGUCAUGUAGCGGUGAAAUGCUUAGAUAUGACAUAGAACACCGAUAGCGAAGGCAGCUUGCUACACAGUCAUUGACACUGAGGCACGAAAGCGUGGGGAUCAAACAGG
This 253-nucleotide ribosomal RNA is filed under the name uncultured bacterium. Its description in RNAcentral is "partial 16S ribosomal RNA". It matches the Rfam family "Bacterial small subunit ribosomal RNA", at positions 524 to 776 of the family's 1533-position model. The record is from RNAcentral.